CGCCAGCCUCGCCCUCCUCGCCGAGGCAGACAGGAGAACGGCGUGUGUGUGUGUGUGAGUGUGUGAGUGUAAAUGUGUGCGUUCCCAAGGACAAACAAAGCUGCUGAAUGGACUGAAGCUGCAGAGGAGAGGAACUCAGAAACCCUCCAGGUGUAUUGGACGUUGAAGGUCUGGAGACUCCACUUCCUGUCAAGGACAUCUGCAUGGGCUGAUCCCGCCGGGCUCUGGGAUCCAGCAGGGGGAGCUGUGGAGACGUUCCUGUGUAGCACAUCAGUGACUCUCAGACACAGUGGUGCAGUGGUUGGUGUCCAGACUCCUUCACUCUGCUCUCAUGGUAUGCAACGGACGAGCAGGAGUGUCCCUUCUCCAGAGUCCCGCUGACUCUGGUGGCUGUAGACGGUGGUCAUUGUGGUGAUAAAUGCAGCGGAGGCCUUUUACAUGUGCAGGUUGUUGGGAAACAUCCUGUGAAUAAAGGUCAGGAGGCAGGAUUUGCUUGAGAAACCAUAGAUUAAAAAGAUAUAUACUCUAAUAAUUUUCAUUAUAACGAUAUCUUAGUGAUCAUUUUAGACGAGGACAAAAAUAAUGUUCACUUAUCAAAGCUUAGUUGUCUUUCUACAGAAUAGAUAACAUAGAUAUACUGUAAGAAUUUCUUAAAAAAAAUAAAUACAAUGUUUUUAUUGUGGUAUUAUUUGUAUUUCAAUUUUGUACGUAUCAGGACUGUGAACAUCUGUAAGACUGUCCGCCUGUGUGUGACUGUGAGUUUGAAUGUUCAGGUGAGCAGGUGUGUGCACAGGUGUGUGACAUGCAUGUGAGCGAAUGCUUUCACUUUGGAUCACUGAAACCUGUAAAGAGACGACCUCAGCCUGAUGACACACAUCUGUGAUGUUGGGAGUUCUUCAAUAAAUGUCCUCUCCUUGUACAGCAACAGCCGCCCUGCUGUGGUUCUUCCCUCUGCCUCCAUGCAGCUCCGGCCCGGGGGCCAUACGCGGCCCGCUAAACCAUUUCAUCUGCAAAACUAGAAUAAGUCAUUUUGAUAAUAGUAUUACCCCAUGCCAGCAAACGCCACGUGGGCCCCAUGUGGUUUAAAAAAGUGGGCAGGAAAUGUGGGCCCCAAAUGGGUUUGUCUGCAGUUUCUGUGGUGACCCCACCUAUGUUUGCCCACCUUGGCUUAAGACUUCACUGUAGAAAGUUAGUGGCGCUUCUGUAGUUCUGAAGCUCCUCUGUGGCCAGCUUUUUUUUUUUUUUUUCAAACAUUUUAUUGAAAAUAUUCAAAUGUUUACAUAUAAGUCACUAGAAGAAAGCCAGGGGGUUGGCAGAGUUUACACACAGGUUUUAAAGAGGAAAUCAAAGCAUAAUUUUUCUCUCCUCACAACUUCCGUAUUUGGAUCAAUUGUAAUAUCCUUUACAAGAGAAAAUCUAUAUUUUUUCCUAACUGGUUUAAUAAUAAUAUAUUAUACGUUAAACAACUAUUUAACUUACAAGGCAACUUAUUCUCGUAUAAUGAGUUCCUAGAAACCCACCACAUUCCAGUCCCUCCUAUUGUAAUGGAUGCUGUUCCUCCAGGAGUGUUGAUGCUUUUUAAAGGGAGCAUGUGAACUUCACCACACAUUUUGUCGUUGUCUGAAACCUCUGCAGGUAAAUUGUGUUUUAUUUCCAGCCCUUCAUCCAGGAACAUAAAAAUGAGAUCCCUUUUUCAACAAAACACAGCAGCUAUACCUUACAUUACCCACUAUUGGAGAACAUUUGCCCCGGAAAUCAAAUGGAAGAAAGUUUGGACUCUAUCCUUGAAAUACUUUAUCCCCAACAAACCUCGGGAGGUUUGUUUCAAACUUCUUCCCAGGUGAUCCAGUGAAAUCCCGUCUCUACGUUGAUAUAGAUAAAAACUGAUCCUUUUGUAACAUUGAAACACC
Molecule: long non-coding RNA, 1910 nt
Organism: Oryzias javanicus (javanese ricefish)
Lineage: Eukaryota; Metazoa; Chordata; Actinopteri; Beloniformes; Adrianichthyidae
Source: Ensembl